GCUCCCGGAAGGUCUGAAGUUGUUUGACGGGAAGGCAGAGACGCAGGGGAAAAUCCAGUUCCCUUCGGGUCCACAUUAGCAGCAGUGGGGCAUUUCCCGGGGACCGGCAGCAGCGGGUACAAAUAAUUCUGGCAAAAUGAAUAAUCUCAAUAAAGAAACAGAGGAAGUUUUGGAGAUAAUGCAUGUAAAUGUUGCUAAAGUAAAGGAUCGAGGAGAAAAGCUGGAAGUUCUAGAUGAAAGAGCCCAAGAUCUGAUGGAAGCUAGUAAAACUUUCCAGAAGUCUGCAAAAGUAGUAGCUCGGCAAGAAAAGAUUAAAAAUAGGAAGUGGAAACUGAUUCUGGGAGUGACAAUUGGUCUUGUCCUUAUCAUCAGCAUCAUCAUCAUCAUUGUUUUCAGUAUUCCAUCUUAAGAAUCAUCACCUUCACUCAGUCCUUCCAUGAACCCGGAAUGAAAGCAAUAAACAUUGCAAUCAAAAAACAAAAACAAAACUGUGGAUGCUGGAAAUCUGAAAUAAAAACAGAAACUUCAGGAGAUACUCAGCAGGGCAGGCCACUUCUGUGGAGAGAGAUAAAUGUGGUUAAUGUUUCAUCAGUUUUGUUUUUAUUUCAAGCAACCUUUGUGAUCUCGACUGCUUUUUCUUUCUGGAAUUGAACAUAAUUAUCAUAAUUUGUUGUUAAAGCAGCUCACAAGUGAGGUGCCUCUAACUGUGGUACUUAAAAACUAAAUAACUAUAGAGCAGGGAUUUACACUUAACACAGUUUUAUUGUGAUUUGUAAUUUUUUUUUAUUAUUUAUCCAUUACAAACUUUGUUUUUUAUUAAAAAUAAUAUAUGGAAUUUAUAUCCUAAUGGGGCUUUUCAAAUUCUUCAGUUUUGCUGUACUUUGUUUCUGCCUCUGUUUAAAGCACACACCCUGUGACAGCUCAACCUGUAAACUCGUAUGUAGUUAUUACGGUUCUGAAAAAAUAAUCCAAAAGUCAAGUGCUCCUCCCCUAACAUAUGGCAAUGAAUUCAAAUAAAUCUGCUUGUUUGGCCUGAGAAACUUGAUUAUGAAAGCUGCUUAACUCUGUUAAAAGUCAGCCAAUUCAAUUAAAUAAUCUGGUCGCUCUACUUGAUCUCCCCACAGUAUGCAGUUGUUUUUUAUUGUCCUCGGGAGCAAGGCAGGGAAAACUAAAGACCGGUAAUCACUGAGGGAUUAUCAACAUCACCCUUGGAAGGUACGAAGAUGAAAAUCAUGAGUGAAUAUUUUAGCAGGAAACUGGUUAUUUGAAAUUACUUUGAAACAGUUAGAUUGAAAGAUAAGAAUAUCUACAAAUUUUGACUAUGCUUGCUUAAGUUUUCCUUUCGUGGUUUUGAGCUCUACAGAUAAAUUGGGUGCCAGCACUGAUCACCAAUGUAGCAAUAGAGCUUCAUCGGCCAUGGCUCGGAAUGGAAGGGGCAAAGACACUCAGCCAGAAUUACUGCUUCUGUAAGUGGCCUGUCUACUAAUGCAUCUGUCUGUGGUUUGUAGGAAAGGAUAGGACUUGACUGCAUUGUUGGCCUGCAGUGACAGGUUGCCGAGGCUCACUUCUGGGGAAACUCGAGUGGGUACUCGAGAGAACAGUUAGCUCCUGCAAUACGUCUCCUGCAAGAAGUGGCAGCAAAAAAAAUCCUCAGAAUUCCAAAGCCACUGGAACAAAGACAGACCAAAAAGUCGAGGGAUAAGCCCAAGGAAGCAGUGCCCAAAAAAUAAUUUAAAAGUGCAGCUUGCAAACAUCUGAACCUCUUCUCAGGUUCAACAACCUCCCUCCAAAGGAAGGAAGGGGAAAGCAGUUAGAGGAAGAGUGGAAAUGAUUGGAAUUGGCACUGAGUCAUGUAUUAUCUCUUCAUUCAGCUUAUUGUGAUGUGCAAAAAAAUUCAAUUCUCCCUCAAAAAGUAGAGAAUAAAUUCGAUGAGCAAAAAAGAUCAGUGAGUGGAAAAAAUUGUUCGAUAUUCACUUGCCAGUCAUGCCUUGGUUUUUUCCAGCUUAGUUUGGCCAGACACCAGAACACAAUUGAUGUUGAUUGAUCCUCACUUCUCACAGCUGUCAGCCGGAGGUACAAAGUGCCACAGGAUUCAUCAAUCAUCAACUCGCUUUAGAGAAUGCAUUUUACAGAUGGGAAAAGUCUACCCAAGGAUUCAUCUCAUCUCAUUUUGUAAAAUUUAUGAUUGAGAUUCUUAAAGCAAAAAUAAUUCCAUUGUACCUUUAGGCAUGAUCAUUUACUUUCCCAUCAAAUACUUCAAGAAUAUGUCACUGCCUAAUGUACAAAUGAGAAAUGGAGACUUACCUGUGAAGUGUAACUAUUGGCUGGUAAGGUAGUUUGGUGAAGCAAUCUGUGACAACAGGAGAGGUGGAGCAAAAACUGCAGGAAAAUGAUGAAACAGACAAAUAAAAAAUAUUCCUUUCUUGAAUAAAAAGUGGUUUAAGUGUAAGUGAAGCACCUCAAAACGGUUAUAAAAUAAAAUCCUAUAUUAAACACGCUUUCAACAUUAAGAAAGACCCGUGUUAUGUACUGAAGCUGACUGUCAGAGAUAUGUUGUAAUCAAACCUGUGCAUAUGGGUAUUGUAAAAAUAAAGGGUUAACACAUUUUCUGCAGUUAAAAUUACAAUACUUUAAAAAGUCUUCAAUUUGUUUUCCUCAUCAGAGAAUAAUUUGUUUUACUUAAGUCACA
This is a long non-coding RNA of Pristis pectinata (smalltooth sawfish), 2689 nucleotides long. RefSeq lists it as uncharacterized. The transcript is spliced from 3 exons. The record is from RefSeq and is a predicted model, not a curated record. Lineage: Eukaryota; Metazoa; Chordata; Chondrichthyes; Rhinopristiformes; Pristidae.